Molecule: non-coding RNA, 72 nt
Organism: Phrynosoma platyrhinos (Desert horned lizard)
Lineage: Eukaryota; Metazoa; Chordata; Lepidosauria; Squamata; Phrynosomatidae
Source: the annotation of a GenBank genome assembly
GCCAGGGUGGCAUAGUGGUUUGAACACUGGACUAUGACUCUGGAGACGUGGGUUCAAAUCCCGUCUGGGCCA